RNAcentral lists this long non-coding RNA (204 nucleotides) under Elaeis guineensis (African oil palm). Its description in RNAcentral is "long non-coding RNA (EGUI_LNC037772)". Lineage: Eukaryota; Viridiplantae; Streptophyta; Magnoliopsida; Arecales; Arecaceae. The record is from RNAcentral.
UCGAUCUAGACAAGAUCAAGGAGUUGAGCAUCAGGAGAUGGCAGAGAGAGGCCGUAACCUCCUCAAUUCGGAUGAGUCCAUUUUUCUCUCUCCUCUUUUGAUUUCUGUCUUCUCUUUUUUUCAUCUUCAAUGGUUGACUCUUCUCUGUUCUGGAUACAGCUAGGCCAUCAUGUCACCACCUUCAUCAACUCAUUGAGGACCUCG